This is a long non-coding RNA of Rhinichthys klamathensis goyatoka, 147 nucleotides long. RefSeq lists it as uncharacterized. The record is from RefSeq and is a predicted model, not a curated record. Lineage: Eukaryota; Metazoa; Chordata; Actinopteri; Cypriniformes; Leuciscidae. The transcript has 3 exons.
CUGGAUUAACUAAGCGUCACUGUGUUUUGGAGUUUGUGAAGCAACAUUUUGUAUCAGGUGCAGGAGGCGUCGUUUAUUACAAUGAGUUUUCUAUUCUCAUUGUGUGUUUCAAUAUUGCUGUUUGGUAAAAUAAUUGAUGGACAAUCA